RNAcentral lists this ribosomal RNA (1945 nucleotides) under bioreactor metagenome. Its description in RNAcentral is "bacterial LSU rRNA". It matches the Rfam family "Bacterial large subunit ribosomal RNA", at positions 3 to 1974 of the family's 2925-position model. The record is from RNAcentral.
UCAAGCUAAUAAGAGCAUAGGGUGGAUGCCUUGGCACUAGGAGCCGAAGAAGGUCGUGAUAAGCUGCGAAAAGCUUUGGGGAGGCGCAAAUAGCCAUUGAUCCAGAGAUUACCGAAUGGGGAAACCUGGCUGGGAAGAUCCCAGUUACUACUGAGUGAAUACAUAGCUUAGUAGGGGGAACCCGGGGAACUGAAACAUCUAAGUACCCGGAGGAAGAGAAAGAAACAUCGAUUUCCUAAGUAGCGGCGAGCGAAAGGGAAAGAGGCCAAACCUGUGAACCUAGUUCAUGGGGGUUCGGACUGCAGACGGUAUUAACAAAGAUUAGUCGAAAUGUUUUGGAAGAGCAUAUCAAAGAGGGUGAGAAUCCCGUAGACGAAAGUUUAAGUUAGCCAGCAGGAUCCAGAGUAGCGCGAGACACGAGAAACCUUGCGUGAACAAGCGGGGACCACCCCGUAAGCCUAAAUACUACCUAGUGACCGAUAGCGCAUAGUACUGUGAAGGAAAGGUGAAAAGAACCCCGGGAGGGGAGUGAAAGAGAACCUGAAACCCUAUGUUUACAAGCAGUCGAAGCACGUUAAAGUGCGACGGCGUACUUUUUGUAGAACGGUCCGGCGAGUUACGAUUGCAGGCAAGGUUAAGCAUUGAAGAUGUGGAGCCGAAGGGAAACCAAGUCUUAAUAGGGCGUCAAGUCAGUAGUCGUAGACCCGAAACCGGGUGACCUAUCCAUGUGCAGGUUGAAGUUACCGUAAAAGGUAAUGGAGGACCGAACUCACAUCUGUUGAAAAAGGUGGAGAUGACGUGUGGAUAGCGGAGAAAUUCCAAUCGAACCCGGAGAUAGCUGGUUCUCCUCGAAAUAGCUUUAGGGCUAGCCUUGAUUUAGUCUAAUGGAGGUAGAGCACUGAAUUGCCUAGGGGGCUUCACAGCUUACCGAAGCAUAUCAAACUCCGAAUGCCAUAUAGAUGAUGAUCAGGAGUCAGACUAUCGGAGAUAAGUUCGAUAGUCAAAAGGGAAAGAGCCCAGACCACCAGCUAAGGUCCCAAAGUGCGUGUUAAGUGGAAAAGGAUGUGAGAUUUCGAAGACAACUAGGAUGUUGGCUUAGAAGCAGCCAUGCAUUCAAAGAGUGCGUAAUAGCUCACUAGUCGAGAGGUCUUGCGCCGAAAAUGUCCGGGGCUAAAACACGCCACCGAAGCUGUGGAUUGGUACGUAAGUAUCAGUGGUAGAGGAGCAUUCUUAGAUUGGAGAAGCUGUACCGUAAGGAGCAGUGGAGAGCUAAGAAGAGAGAAUGCCGGAAUGAGUAGCGAGAGAGAAGUGAGAAUCUUCUCGGCCGAAUAUCUAAGGUUUCCAGAGUAAAGCUGAUCUUCUCUGGGUAAGUCGGGACCUAAGGUGAGGGCGAAAGCCGUAGCCGAUGGACAACUAGUUGAAAUUCUAGUACCGCAUAUAAACAGAACUGUGGGGACGCAGGAGGAUAACAAGAGCCAGGAAAGGAAAAACUGGUGCAAGCACAAAGGCCGUUGGAUAGGCAAAUCCGUCCAACAUAAGGUUGAAGUGUGACGCGGAUCGAAUUAAAGUAGAGAAGCUUGUGAAUCCAUACUGCCAAGAAAAGCCGCUAUUGUUUUAUAUGUGCCCGUACCGCAAACCGACACAGGUAGAUGAGGAGAGAAUCCUAAGGCCGACGGGAGAAGCGUUGUUAAGGAACUCGGCAAAAUGACCCCGUAACUUCGGGAGAAGGGGUGCCAUCUUCGGAUGGCCGCAGAGAAUAGGCCCAAGCGACUGUUUAGCAAAAACACAGGUCUCUGCAAAACCGAAAGGUGAAGUAUAGGGGCUGACGCCUGCCCGGUGCUGGAAGGUUAAGGGGAAGGAUUAGCGUAAGCGAAGUCUAGAACUUAAGCCCCAGUAAACGGCGGCCGUAACUAUAACGGUCCUAAGGUAGCGAAAUUCCUUGUCG